UACGUAGGGUGCGAGCGUUGUCCGGAAUUAUUGGGCGUAAAGAGCUCGUAGGCGGCUUGUCACGUCGGUUGUGAAAGCCCGGGGCUUAACCCCGGGUCUGCAGUCGAUACGGGCAGGCUAGAGUUCGGUAGGGGAGAUCGGAAUUCCUGGUGUAGCGGUGAAAUGCGCAGAUAUCGAGAGGAACACCAGUGGCGAAGGCGAGUCUCUGGACGACACCUGACACUGAGGCACGAAAGCUAGGGGAGCAAACAGG
This 253-nucleotide ribosomal RNA is filed under the name uncultured bacterium. RNAcentral's name for it is "partial 16S ribosomal RNA". It matches the Rfam family "Bacterial small subunit ribosomal RNA", at positions 524 to 776 of the family's 1533-position model. The record is from RNAcentral.